Long non-coding RNA from Lynx canadensis (Canada lynx), 423 nucleotides. RefSeq lists it as uncharacterized. The transcript has 2 exons. The record is from RefSeq and is a predicted model, not a curated record. Lineage: Eukaryota; Metazoa; Chordata; Mammalia; Carnivora; Felidae.
CCUCGGAUGAAGGCCUCACUGUUCCUUCCUCACUGAAGGUUAGCCACGCUGGGGUCACCUAUGACCUCAGAUCACCGCAGCCGCCAUCAAGUCCUUCCCUCCCUCAUGUUAGGACGUGGAGUUCAACGGCCCCUCCCCCACCUCAGGUUCCGGGUGGAGCCAGCUGCCCUGAAAGAAGUUUGACAAUCCCAAGACCGCCAUGUUGUGAGGACAUCCAGGCUAGUCAAGUGGAGAGAACACGUGGAAAGAGCAAUGCUUGGGGUCCCCAGCUGUCCCAGCCCAGGAGACACACAUUGAAGCAGAGAAACCUUCAGAUGGGCUCCAGCCCCCACUGCGACCUCAUGAGACCCCAAGUGAGAAUUGCCCCACUGAGCCCAGCUGACUCCUAGACCAUGAGAGAUAAUAAAUUAUCCUGCUUAAGCC